Long non-coding RNA from Pangasianodon hypophthalmus (striped catfish), 1025 nucleotides. RefSeq lists it as uncharacterized. The record is from RefSeq and is a predicted model, not a curated record. The transcript is spliced from 7 exons. NCBI's taxonomy places the organism in Eukaryota, Metazoa, Chordata, Actinopteri, Siluriformes, Pangasiidae.
CCUUUAGUCGAAAAUAGCGGAAACAGCGCGUCACGUCCAGUGCGCAUGCGUAUUACGCGCUUAGAAACAACGCAUGCGCACUGCGCGCUUUAAAUGAAGUCCGCGCGCACGCGGUGUCUCAGUCAGUCUGCAGUGCCGAGGCACCACGUGGGUCCAGCUGGCUUCACGGAAAGGAUAAUGCAGCCCGAGAGCCCUACUUCCGGCCCCACUUCCGGCUCAGGGGUCACGUGGUUACCCACCAGACUGGGAGGUGGGACUCAUUCCCCUUUUAUGUAGAAGACAGGAGUCCCAUUGGGAAAUUGUACGAUGAGCCAACAGCAGAGAGAAUUGGGUGAUACAAGGCUGCACAUCCACUUGUGCAGGUGGGAACUGUAACGCUUUGUUCCAUUAUGGGAAAAGGAGGCAUGCAUCGUCAUGGUCUCUGAGAACGUGUAUCACGAACCGGGGGUCCAGCACAUCUCCAGAUAGCUCCAGGACUUGGCUUUCUUUCUAAGGAUAUAAAUCUGCUCCUGAGGCCCGUUGGAUGAACGUGUUCAACACUUGGCUUUCCAAAGUUGUUAAACAAACCACAGCAUGAAGAAUCUGGAAUGGAUUCAUGGAUGCUCCUCACAUGGAGAUGCACAAAGGGCCAUCAUGGAUUGCUGUAGCUUUCAAGCUGACAAGCUGAUUGGUGCUGAAGUUGCAUUCAGAUUGAUGGGAGACAUUAGAGACUACGUUUACAUGCACAUCAAGUGUCCAAGUAGAGCAGGGAAGGCUGGCAUCAUGCUGUAGAUGUUCCUUAUUCUGUUCUUCAGGCCCUUCAGAUGGUGUAUGUUUCAGGUUUUUUGUUUCCAACACACCUGAACCAGGUAUAUGGUAUUUUUCUUGGAUUGGUUUGGGUGUGUCUGAAUGAAAAUGGCAGGAAUGUAGACUGUCUGUAGGGCUAUGAGGAUUAGAUUGGGGCAAAAACUUCUACAAAUGUGCAACAUGUAUUUGAACCAUGGAACUAUGUUUUGUAAAAAUAAAUAAACAAAUGCAGAUUUAAA